ACGUAGGACGCAAGCGUUAUCCGGAAUUACUGGGCGUAAAGGGCGUGUAGGCGGCCCGGUAAGUCAACCGUGAAAGCUCCCGGCUAAACUGGGAGAGGUCGGAUGAGACUGCCGAGCUAGAGGGUCGUAGAGGGGUGUGGAAUUCCGGGUGUAGUGGUGAAAUGCGUAGAUAUCGGGAGGAACACCGGUGGCGAAAGCGGCACCCUGGCAUUGGCCUGACGCUGAGGUGCGAAAGCGUGGGGAGCAAACGG
RNAcentral lists this ribosomal RNA (251 nucleotides) under uncultured prokaryote. RNAcentral's name for it is "partial 16S ribosomal RNA". It matches the Rfam family "Bacterial small subunit ribosomal RNA", at positions 525 to 775 of the family's 1533-position model. The record is from RNAcentral.